UUUCCGUGCCCUCGCAAGGCGCCUAAGUGCAAGAAGGAGGUUGUGCGUCCUGUAAAAGUGGCUGCCCCAGGAGCUUCGGGAGAGAUGCCCUGCCUCACGGGCUGGACGGGGAGGGGCGGCAACAGAAGUUUUCCUUUCAUCCCAGAGCUUAAAUUGGAGAGAGCGUGCACAUCUAGGGCCAUCUCUUUAUCCCUGAGGCUAGUAAAGCCUAUUCGCCCAGCUGCAGUUUGGGAGACAGCGUGUCUUGUCCCUCUUUCCCCGGCCCACCACCCCUCUGGGGAACCCAGCAGAAGGCUAGGUGUGAAAUCUUGCCUCGAGCACCGCUUUGUGCUGCCAGGCCGUUGUUUGUGGUUGAAGUGUGCUGGGAGGAGGAAAUGCUCCAUUUAUAUACAGUGGGGAGGUUUGGAGCCGACAGCUGCCCUUGAGCAGGCCAGGGAGAUGAGACUGCAUGGGAAAUGUGCUGGCCAAGCUGCUGGUGGGGAAUAGCAGUGCAGGGCUGUCCUGAGGCGCAGCUGCAGAGGUGCCCUGGGGCAUGCUGGAGACACUGCCAGCCCCCACAGGUGAGCCACCCACCUAAUGUCUCCCUGCCCUCACACCUCUCCUGGCUCUGACAGCAGGAGACCACUGUACUGGUGGUAACACUGGCUUCUGGGGCUGGGGAGGCUGGCCCCAGUGGGGUCCACAUAUCCAUUUCUCUCUUGCCAGAAGAAGGAAGGGCUCUCAGAGGCCGCGGGGGUGACGUCUGUGAGCAAAGCAGAGCUCUGCGCCACCGGGGAGAAGAGGUGGCUUCUCCUUCUGCCCCACUUUUGCAUCCUUGGAGGGCACAGCUGUCUCGCACCUGUUAUUUGCUCUUGGGUAUUCUGCUUUGGGCUUUCUGGCUCUCGUGGCCUUUUUCUGGUAGUGUUUCUGUUAGUUUUGCUGUAAGGAUUUUUAACUGAGAAAGAUCUGAGAAAAGCUCCUGGGGCCAGGCAACCGUUUAAACUUCGGCUUCUACCCCUGGAAACAGCAUACACAAUUAGCGAUUAGCAAUGAUAGGGCAUAUUUAGAAAGAUAAAAUAGUGUAAAUGUGUCUGUCAAGUCUUUUUAGCAGAAAAGACCUUCUAAAUUCCUUGUUCAGUAUCAGUGACAGAGAUGUUACUAUCCAGCAGGAAAAAAAAUGUAUUGCAAGUUAAUUUUUGUUGUGUUUUAUUUUCUUAACAUCUAGGCUUGAUAACUAAAAUCCUUUACUCACUGAUCCCCCUGUUAUGUUGAUCUGAAAGGUUCAGCUUAUCCAGAUUUCAGUAAACCUUUUAUUAGGACCAGGCCAGCUCAGCACUUAACUCACAUUUUUUUGUUUCUGUGCUGAUUUAGGAUAGCUUUUUUCCUAGAUGGUUAAGAUUUUGCUCAUGACCUGUAAGAGGCCACAUUCUUUAUAUAUCUCGAUAAUCUCAUACUAGAGCUUCUCUAGUUUUCCGAUCUUUUCCUGCAGUAUUCAAAAUUGAGGUUUGUUAAAACAAUCUAAAUGUGAACUGACAUCUAAUUGUGACUGUCCUAGAUAGUCAUUGAAGAGAGAGAGAAGUAGUAGAUGUGGAUUCAUCUUCUUCACCUCAGCAGUUUAAUGCUGAAACCUAGUAGUAAACAUGUUGUUAAAUUGCUGAUAAAUCCAGCUAGUCUGGGAUUGUUUACAAAAUCUUGGAAUUGCAAAAAGAGAUUUAGUAGAAGAUGACUGCUUUUCAUUUUCCAAUCUGUUUUGCUUUAAAUUCUUAGCUGUAUAGCUUCCAUUCUAGAAAGUUCUGUUGAGUUACUGGCACUUGUUCAAGCAUAAGCUCUUUGAGACCGACAUUCUUACUUUAUCUGCAUAGUGGAUCACUAUCAGUUCUCCAAAGGUGAAUACUGUUUGUUUUCAUACUUUCAAACUGAGGACCAUGCAAGAUCUCUUAACAGAGUCUCUAUAAGGAGCGUACUGCUCAGCAUAGUUUCAAAAUGCAUAUACAUUAAUAAGUAAGAGUUGCAGAGUAUUUGAUCCUGACAUAAAACUAAGUGCUUUUCAGACUCUGUAUUUAUAAACUUAACAUAGGUCGCUUGAUUCUUUUCAGUAACAUUAUAGCAGUUUUUUAGAGUGGGAUUUGGUAGUCAUCUUAAGUCAACAACAUUACAUAACUGUUUUAGGGAGGGAAAGGAAGAACAAUUUAUCCUUUUUAGACUUCAGGGGAAUUUUAAGUACACAAAGUAUAAUUACUCUAAUUGAAAUUUAUCCAGGAACCUAGAAUUAACCACCCUUCUCUCAGGACAAAUAUAACAGGAUCAUGUGAUGAUCAUGAGUUUCAAUUUAAAAGUAAGUGAAAGACUGUGAAUGAAAAGCCAUUAUUUAGUGUGCUGUUGUUUAUCUCAGUUCUGUUUCACAGCCACUGUGUCGCUAUCUUCUGUCCACCCUAUGCACUAUUUUAGAGCCAAACAUAACAAAAGCUUUUUUUGACCGUGACUUACACGUUAUGCUGGGGGAUUUGGGGAACUAUGACUUUUUGUGUUAAUGGAGUUCAUAUGAAGCAGCAUUAAAAUUUAUAUAUGGACCAUAAUACUAGUGAAACCUUAUUUUUAAACAAAAUAAUUUAAAUUUUAGAAAUGCACAAUCUAUAAUUUGAUUAUCAGUAUUUCUGAUCCCUCCCCCAUAGAAAAGCCUGCAGUAAUUAUCUAUUUUAUCUACAAGUAUCUGUCAGAAAAAUAUCAGUACUAUUAAUGUAUUAUUCUAGUUUGUAUAUUUUAACAGCUAAAGUAUACAUGAUCUAGAAAAGAUAUGGUUAUAACACAAUCAGAUCUCUAUAUAACAGUCUCUUCUUAAUUCCUCAAAAUAAUUACAUUCUGCACAUAGAGUCCAUAUUUUAUGUACAUUUUAUUUUAUAUAUAUAGGAUAGCCUGUUUACCUGAAUGAAACUGACAUUUUCAUCUCUCCCAUGCAAACUUCCUUGUCUGCAGUGCCUGCUGUAUAGGUUUUGCUAGGCAGACAUUGCUGUGCAGCACAGCCUUUUAAGGGAGAAGUAUCUGUUCUGUUUUUAUGUUCUUUACUAAAUACAGUGUUGUAGAUGGUACCACAAUAAUUAACUGGAAUUCUACUUCUUUUUGCAAUGUUUGAUGAGCAAAAUCCCCCUGUUUCUACUGCAUAUCGCUGUUGCAGCUCCAAGAUAAUGUUUUCUGUGUAUAAUAACUAUCAUAAUCUGUGGGAACCUUGUAAGCUUAGCUUUGUUUUGUCCACCUUUAAAAAGUGCACAGGCAGGGCAAAAGAUCCCCACCCCUCUCUGUGGAUUGGUGCACUGGCUCUUGAGGAAUGGUUUGCUCUCUCCCUUGUCAUUAAGCCUGUACUGAACAGGUCAACCAACACUGGAUGAGAUUAUCUGGAAAGUGUACUGGGCUGCAGAACAGAAGGAUAAAGUUCUUUAAAAGGCGUCAUUGCAUGAAAACUGACAGUGCACACAACAACCAUACUUAGAAUCAUUGAUUUGGUUCCUGUUUGAUUGCCAUAAAACAUUUUUAAGAAAUGGAGGAAGAUAAAGGGCAGAGUGCUAAAGCUACCAGUGCGGUGGGUGACCUAAGAAAAAGUUGGCAGACCUGGGCAGAGGAUCAGAUCGAGUAUCAGAGAAAGAAUCCGUUCAGCAACAAGGAGAGGCUUGCGUCUAAACCUGUGCAUACCCACAGAGGAGAUCCUACCUAUGGGAGACCCCCUGAAGGGUCUAAAACAGAGCAGAGGGGGAAAGAUGCCCACUCACAUGUGGGGAAGGAAGUGGAAGAGCUGUGCUUGAUCAUAAGAAGCACCGGCGAGAGGGGAGAAGAUGGACAUGUGAGUGUGACAUUUCGGCAGCUGUUUGAAACAUAUGUGACUAUUUCCAAUAAAGUAGUGGGGAUCUUGUUGAGAGCCAGAAAACAUGGUCUGGUUCAUUUUGAAGGUGAAAUGCUUUGGCAAGGAAAAGAUGAUGAUGUGAUCAUCACUUUACUAGAAUAAGGCUUUGUCAUCUGAUGAAUUCUGCUGCAUGUUUCCAUUUGGAAAGAACAUAUCUAGAUACCAUCUUGAAAGAGGUUUUCCUUACAGAAUUUCAACUCGGCAAAUUAACGGGAUAUGAGCAGAAGAGAAAAUUGGUAAGAAGGAUGAAAGGUAUUUUCAUAAAAAUGGUAGAUAUUGUGGACAGAAAUCACAAAUAGUCAACUAAUCUAUUACUCUCCCAAUGGAUUGUCCUUUCAUUAUUACCAUCCCUUGCAUGUCAUUCUUUAAAUGUCUCUGCUGGCUUAUUGCUUUAGGUAGCUGAAAGUUUAAAUUACUAAUUUGCUACUGUACAACACUGAUUCUUGCAGGCUGUGAAAUAUGCACUGUGUGGAGGAUUUUUAUGGCAAAACACAGAAUUUAAAUAAAUAUUUCUGUAGGAAUUCAUAUACUUCUUCAAAAAAGAGCUUGAUCUAUAGCAACAGUUUAAUUAUUUUCACAUGGUGAAGUUAAAUAAAUGGAAGUUUUACUGACUUCCAGGAAGUAUAUGAGAAUUCCCAAGUUUACAGAAAUAUCACUUGCUUAAGAGUCUACAGAAUAUGCAGCAAGGAUACUACAUGGUUCCUAAAUUAUCUGCAUCUUUCAUGUAUUCUGUAGAGCUGCACUAGUCUUGGUAUUUAAUAGUCUAUUCCUAUCAUUAUAUCUUCUCCAAAGCUUUCCAGUGUCUGUUGUUCUUCUUCCUUUUUCUAUCUCACACCAUUUUUACCUGUUCUGUUCUUCUAAUGCUACCUCAUCCCCUAGAAGUUCAGAAAGCUUUGCAGCCUUUUGGGGGAAUUUGACUAUGUUUCUUCUCAGAAAGUAGGGUGCCACAACAUAGAGAUGUGAGAGAGAUAUUGGCACUUUGUGUAUUGGUGAAAAGAAAAAAAAAACAUCCUUCACUUCUUUCCACAAAAUGUAGCAAUGUUGUUUACAACAGGAGAGUAGAGAUACUGGAGUGCCAAAUGCAUAAAUAAAAAUAUUGCACUGGAGUCACAUACCUCACUUGGUCAGGCAGAGUUGUGCUUUCAGUGCAGUUUUAAUUUCUCGAAACUGGGAGAAAAAAUGAGCUGCUGUUUAAAAAUGGGCCUGAAAGAUAAAGAUGACAGAUAACAUUUCUUUUCCUAAUUCUUCUGGGGAAACUUUUUUUAACUGAAAAAAAAAGAUUGGUUAUUGACAACAAUUGUAAUAGUGCCAUUAGAAAUAUUCAGGAGCUACAUAGGAGCUAAUAGUUCCCAUGAAGAAAUCUGUAUCCAUUGGGAAUAGCAAAUUCUGUUUUUUACCAGCUUAAAUAAAAGCUCUUAUGUGGUGAAAGCUCUUAUGUGGUGCUAACUGUUUUACUUAAUGGGUUUUUAAAAUAAGAAUAUUCUGUUGUCUCAAAAGGAUGUUGAGACAAUAUAAAUUACGAACAUGUUAAAUGUGAUUAAAUUCUUUUAUACUAAUUAUAUAAAACUUUUUUUGCAAAAAGCCUGAUUUUUUUUAUAUUUCCAUCAAAUAGAGAUUUGCAUCAAAACACAUUUUUUGUUUCAUUGAACAAAUAAAAAUAUAAUUUAUAUUACCCCUUUGUCUCCUUUUCCUAGUGAAAAGGUAGGUAGAAGAGAAAAUAGGGGAGAAAAGAAGGUGCCAAAGUAAGUAUAUCUGAGGGACAGGGAAACCAGAAAGCAUGGAAGGGGAAACAAAUGAUGGGUUUUAUAAUCACAUAAUUUUACCAUGUUGGAAACUGGGGGAUGCAUGCUGCACUAGAUACCGCAUUUAAUACAUUUAAAAUGCUGUGUUUUUCAAAAAAAUCCAUUUCUUGCCAAAAUGAUAUGAGCAUGCCUCAGCAGAUUUCAAUUCCUACUAGAUAAAGCCUGGGCACACAUUGUAUAAAAAUUAAUUUCAAAAUCAAUGUCAGGAUUGUUAAAAUACAGCUACAGGAUGUGGUUUGUUUAAUUUUAACUUAAUUUUAAAUCCAGUUGAUUCUGCUGUAACAUUAGUUCAUAAUUUGUAGGAAGCAGUAUCAGGCAGUUCAAGUAUCACUAACUAACAGGAUGACAGCAUCAAGAAAAAUAAUACAUUAUUCUCAGAAAAUACAGAGGAUGCUUAGGCUGCACACUGCCUAAACUAAGAUGCAAGUGCAGCUCCUGCAGACUUACAAGUUCUUAUUGUUAUGGCUCAGAGAGUUAAACCACAGGAAUAUGGCCUUCAACUGCCAUAUAUGCAGUCAAUGUUAGGUACUUAUAUAGUCUCUGUUGCACUCUUUCCUGCUACUGCGGGAUGCCUCUGCAAGAGCUGUACAUAUAACUAGGGUCCAUCUACAAGAGCUGUGAACAUACCUCUGAUUAGUAUCAAAACAUAGAAAAACAGAGUAAGCCCCAAUUAAAUGGUCAGACCAAUGCUGUAAGCAACUAUAACAAGCUUGCCCUAUCAUAUUUUGGAUAAAUCCAAGAAUUAGUAUUGGAGAAAUGAUUUAUUUAGGGAUAAACUUUUUUUUAAAUAAUCAUAGGAAAUUUGGCCCCAUCUGCCAGCUAUAGAUGAGUAUUCUGUAAAGAGUGACUGCUGUCUUUCUGUUAUGCAUAUCUAUGCAACUGUCAUAAACACCAGAAAGCUGCCAAACUGGGUCAGCUCACAGGCUGACAAAUCUGCUUUCAGCAAUAGCUGUUACUCGAAAAGAAGUCUAAAGGAUAAGUGCAAUUGCUCGAUCUGUGCACUGAUACACUUAAGAAUAAAAAUGACUCCUGAAGCCUAUACAGUCAGGUAUACAUCAUAUCUAGUGGACAAAACUGGACUUAGCUCCUAGUUUGCAAACUAGGGAAAAUUUUCCUUCAUCAUCUGCAAUGUAGAGAAAAGACUGACAUCUGGAGAUGAAUCAGUUCUUAAACUUUUAUGCAAUGGGCCACCAUUAAAGUAAAUGGAACAGCUAAUCUAAUACAUCAUUUUCGCAAGAAGCGUUAAGACAUGAGUUUAUGUUAGUACUACAGAUUAUUUGUAGUAGUAAGUAAACUUUGACCUUCUAAAAGGUGUUCUUACUCCAUCAAGUCACUUUCGGUUCUUCAGAUCUCUCCUAAAAGGUCACUUUUUGUAGCAAACUUAUCAGCUCCCUCAGUAGUCUUUCCUCUUCUUCCAGUUGAAGCCUGUCUAUUCUACAUGGGUUUUAGACUAUAAAUUGUACAGGGAUUAUCUGUAUUUUGUCUUGUGAAACACUGAAAAUGCUUUCAGCACUUCAAUAAAUAUUGCACAUCAGUUUGA
Molecule: long non-coding RNA, 7213 nt
Organism: Dromaius novaehollandiae (emu)
Lineage: Eukaryota; Metazoa; Chordata; Aves; Casuariiformes; Dromaiidae
Exons: 2
Source: RefSeq, a predicted model, not a curated record